GUCGCUGUAGUAUAGUGGUGAGUAUCCCCGCCUGUCACGCGGGAGACCCGGGUUCAAUCCCCGGCAACGGCG
Ipomoea nil (Japanese morning glory) is the source of this 72-nucleotide transfer RNA. It matches the Rfam family "tRNA". Rfam says of the family: Transfer RNA (tRNA) molecules are approximately 80 nucleotides in length. The record is from Rfam. NCBI's taxonomy places the organism in Eukaryota, Viridiplantae, Streptophyta, Magnoliopsida, Solanales, Convolvulaceae.